RNAcentral lists this long non-coding RNA (3356 nucleotides) under Lactuca sativa (garden lettuce). Its description in RNAcentral is "long non-coding RNA (LSAT_LNC000151)". The record is from RNAcentral. Lineage: Eukaryota; Viridiplantae; Streptophyta; Magnoliopsida; Asterales; Asteraceae.
UUAAUUACAGGCCUGUUAUCUUCAAACUUGGGCUUUGGCCCCUCCCGAAUCCAGAUUCCAAGAAGCAAUCCGAAAUCUCCAAGAAAUAGAAAUCAAAAUCGGUUCUUCCCCAAUUUCGUUCGCUGAAUCGCUGCUGCCUGCUGUCGUUGUUGGCCUGUUGAGUCACUUGCUUCAAUUGCUUGGUCUCACACUCUCACUCUCGCAAUCGCCCAUCACUAAGCGCCAUUCACCAAAAAUCAGGUAUGGAAUCCCGAAUCUUGUUCUUUCUUUCCAGUUCACUUGUUGCUGCCUGUUGUGCUACACUGUUGGUUGUUGCUGCUGUUUGCGAGUUUCUCCUAAGUUCUGACUCCUUUUUUCUCUCGGUCCAAACUCCAAAUUAGGGGUUAGAGUUUCUCCUGUCAAUUUGUGAGUUUCUCUUAAGGCCCCUGAAUGAAAAGUUAUAUGAACAAACUUUGAUAUUCUAUUGUGACAAUUGUAAGUUGCGUGGUGAUAUUUCGACUGUGCAAAACCUGCUGACCUGUUGAAGCCAGAUUGUAAGAUAUCUAUGUUCUUGUGGAGUUGUUUCAGGUGUUAUAUUCCUUUAAACAAAGUUUUGAUCUUGCUAAUGUAGAGUUUGGAUCGCAAGUCACUUAAUUAGGGCUUAAUUUAUUUGCAAAUAAGUUAUAUGAAGUUUUUGUUUUGAGCUACAAAAUUGAUAGGAGAUUUCUUUGUUGAUUUAACACCUACAACUGUUCACAUAAAUCACCUUUGACACAUAAUCAAGCCUUCACUGAUAUGCACACAGCUGUAGUUUAAGCAGCUCAUAAGAUUCCCACAAAGGUAAAACUUCUGCCUAGCAGAAUUCUCCUUGCACAAAGUGAUAAUAUCUACCUUAAGAUGUGAUUAGAGUUCAUGGGUUCAUCACUUUUAUAGCCUCUUCAUUUAGAUGUUGGAAUAGCAAGUAUGUGAGAAACCAACCUCCUGGUGCUCUAAAAUGACUAAAAUCAGAGAAACACGGGAAAAAGAGAAACAGGGGAAACCUUUGGGGCAAAUUUUCUACUGUGUUUAUUUGAGAUUCUCAAUCUAAUCUGAAUGGGAACAAAAAUACAUAAAACAAAGGCAAUUCCUAGAGAUUAGCAACGGACUCUCGGCCCCCCCUAAAUAAUUGUUCAAGCUCCGCCACCGGGCAUCACGUCAUUUUUGUCGCACUUUAGCCAAAACUUGCCAUGUGUUAGGCACAAGUUGUUGCACUUUUCAUUCUAAAUAUAUAUUUUCUUUAAUUAAUUUAGAAAAAAAUAUUGCAAACAUAUUAUUUUUUAAAAAAACUUAAUUUCCAUUAAAAAAAACAUAGAAAUUAAAAUUAAAAAAAAAGCAUCACCCUAGAAAUUCAAAAAAAAAAACAUAAAAAUUCAAAAAAAAAAACAUUGAAAUUAAAAAUAUCACAAGAACACUAGAAAUUCAGAAACAUCACACUAGAAAUUCAAACACACAAUCCAUUAAAAAUUAGAAGACAAAGACUUCAAAUUUGACGCAAUUUGGGGCUCUGCCUCACAAUUUGCCAAAACCCAACAAGCUUGAAAUUUUUGUCACUUUCAACACGGUAAGCCUCAAGAGAAUUCUCUAGCAAAGUAUUUUCAUUUUCACCAUUUAUGGCAUCAUGCAUCACCUUAUGAAACAUAAUGGUAAACUGAGUUGCGAGUGCGUGUGCAUUUCUCCAUUUGGCGUAGAGUAGAUAUUUUGUUCAAGGCUGAAGGGCUUGGCGGUUGUAUAUGUCGGCAACUCUACUCCAAAAAGUAGUUGAAGGAUAGUCAUUGUGGUGUGGAUCUUCGGCUACAUCAAUCUAUGAACUAGCGAGUAAGAUCUCUUCUUCGGUCGACCAAACAAUAGCCGUUUUUUGUGAUGAGGUGUAGAAAAUGAUGGAAAAAUAAGAAAGUUAAGAGAAUAGAAUUAAGGAGAUUUGAAUGGUGAUGAAUGAAUAAGGAUGGAGGUAUUUAUAGUUGAAAACUGAGGGUUUAAAAGUGAAAUUUUGAAAGAAAAAAAAACGGUUAUAUUUUUGAAACUGUGUAUUUUUUGGAAAGAAAGUAAUUUUUGAAAAAAAAAGUUUAAUUAAUAUAUGGAUUAAAAGAAAAAAAUAUCUUUCAUCGGUUAACCCUCGCCGAGUUGUCGAUCCGAGCUCGACAUGCCGAGGCCUAGGCCUGGUUUUCGCCAAGUUCACCGAGUUUGUAGUCGAGUCCACAUCUACUAUCCUGAUAUACGAAUAACCAAAUGGUACAGUUAAAACUAAUGCAAAAUUUACAAAUUACUAAUGUUUUAGAUAAGUUUGAAUUCUCCUUUUUAAUUGAUAGUUGUGAAAUAGAUAUGAGUGGACGAAAAUUACAGGAAGGUCCUAUAAGUUUUCGUCCAAGGCUUCUAGAUGAAUAGUCCAUGGGCUACUUAGGCCUUAAGCAUGAAAUUAGGGUUUCCAACUACAAACCCUAGCUUUAGGACUAAGCAACCUCAAGUAUAAAAGGAACCUAACCCUUGGGAUAUUCGGUCAUCUGCUCUUUACCCUAGCAUAGCCGAAACUUUGGUUUUAUCUCCUUAUUUCUCCUCUAAUCCUCUUGCAAAGAGUGUUUGUAAGUCAUUAUAGGUGUCACAUUUAAGGCACCUGCUUUCAAGAGUUCAAGAUCUAUAAGGAUUAAUUUUUAUUACUACAUAACAAUUGAGGUAUGUAUCUAAACCCUAUUAUUAGGUUAAUUUCGAUUUUAUAGAUGCAUAUUAGUUUAAAACCAAAAAAGAUUUGUUGUUUUCUCACAUUUUCGAUAAAACCCUCUCAUAAAAGUAUUUUAACAAUACUUUGGCUGAUAUUAGUAGAUGCUACUCGAACCACGCUUUUUGUAUACAUAUCGGCAUUUCGUAUAGAGGUUAUUAUGUCAGCAGUAGUAUCACUACCCAUGAUGAAUUAAAAUUAUUGGUGCCUCCAAAUUUGGAUAUAAUCAACAUGUUUUUCUUUUACGUAUUUGUUUAUGAAUAUUAAUUUUGAAAGGUAUAUACGUGAGACAAAAUCUACUAAAUGAAUCUUAAUAUAUUUCUUUUAAAUACUCUGCUAUAGCCAUAUCGUGCUCUGAGUUUCUCUUUUGUAUUCAAGUUUGCAUGUUUAACUAGUAAAAACCUAGAUCCAAAGCAUUAGGGUUGCAUGAACACAUAGGAUUUGUAGUUAUGCUCAAAACCCAUCAAAUUUUCAUAUUUGUUCUGAUUUGUAGGGGCUAAGAUAAAGUGAGAAGGUGGAACACAGAAGAAUGAACCUAAUCAUGAGGAAUAGACGAUCUUCUCCUGUUACCCAAAUUGGAGUUUAUAUUAGUGCUUAGUAGUGGUGUUUGUUUAGAGUUAAUAAAUUG